Molecule: long non-coding RNA, 377 nt
Filed under: Glycine max (soybean)
Lineage: Eukaryota; Viridiplantae; Streptophyta; Magnoliopsida; Fabales; Fabaceae
Description: long non-coding RNA (GMAX_LNC003293)
Source: RNAcentral
UUUGACUUCCCCAUAUGGCUCGCUACUCCUUCCUCUUGGCCCUCCUCCUCCUCCUCUUCGCCGCCGUGUCCAGCGCCGCCGACGACAUCCUGAUCCGUCAGGUGGUGCCGGAUGCCGUCGGCGAAGCGGCGGAGAAGGAGGAGGACCACCUGCUGAACGCGGAGCACCACUUCGCGAGCUUCAAGGCGAAGUUCGGGAAGAAGUACGCGACCAAGGAGGAGCACGACCGUCGCUUCGGCGUCUUCAAGUCCAACCUCCGCAGAGCGAGGCUGCACGCCAAGCUCGACCCCUCCGCCGUCCACGGCGUCACCAAAUUCUCCGAUCUCACUCCGGCCGAGUUCCGCCGCCAAUUCCUGGGCUUCAAGCCGCUGCGCUUG